Molecule: microRNA precursor, 74 nt
Filed under: Carlito syrichta (Philippine tarsier)
Lineage: Eukaryota; Metazoa; Chordata; Mammalia; Primates; Tarsiidae
Description: miRNA (ENSTSYG00000026507.1)
Source: RNAcentral
UGAGCCCGGGAGGUUGAGGCUGCAGUGAACUGUGAUCGUGCCACUGCACUCCAGCCUGAGUGACAGAGCAAGAC